This 301-nucleotide ribosomal RNA is filed under the name uncultured bacterium. RNAcentral describes it as "partial 16S ribosomal RNA". It matches the Rfam family "Bacterial small subunit ribosomal RNA", at positions 509 to 807 of the family's 1533-position model. The record is from RNAcentral.
CAGUCGCCACGGUAAUACGGAGGGUGCAAGCGUUAUCCGGAUUUAUUGGGUUUAAAGGGUCCGUAGGCGGAUCUGUAAGUCAGUGGUGAAAUCUCACAGCUUAACUGUGAAACUGCCAUUGAUACUGCAGGUCUUGAGUAAAGUUGAAGUGGCUGGAAUAAGUAGUGUAGCGGUGAAAUGCAUAGAUAUUACUUAGAACACCAAUUGCGAAGGCAGGUCACUAAGAUUUAACUGACGCUGAUGGACGAAAGCGUGGGGAGCGAACAGGAUUAGAUACCCGCGUAGUCCCUGUCUCUUAUAC